RNAcentral lists this ribosomal RNA (480 nucleotides) under uncultured bacterium. Its description in RNAcentral is "partial 16S ribosomal RNA". It matches the Rfam family "Bacterial small subunit ribosomal RNA", at positions 28 to 507 of the family's 1533-position model. The record is from RNAcentral.
GACGAACGCUGGCGGCGUGCUUAACACAUGCAGGUCGAACGAUGAAGAAAAGAAUUGAAGCUUCGGCAGAAAUUCAUUUCGGAUUAGUGGCAGACGGGUGAGUAACGCGUGAGCAACCUACCUCUUACAAAGGGAUAGCCUCGGGAAACCGGGAUUAAUACCAUAUAACAUUGCGACGAAGCAUUUCGAUGCAAUCAAAGCUACGGCGGUAAGAGAUGGGCUCGCGUCCCAUUAACCAGAUGGUGAGGUAACGGCUCACCAUAGUAACGAUGGGUAACCGGCCUGAGAGGGUGAAUGGUCACACUGGAACUGAGACACGGUCCAGACUCCUACGGGAGGCAGCAGUGGGGAAUAUUGCACAAUGGAGGGAACUCUGAUGCAGCGACGCCGCGUGAGUGAUGAAGGAAUUCGUUUCGUAAAACUCUGUUCUAUGGGAAGAAAAGGACUGUACCAUAGGAGAAAGCUCCGGCUAAAUACGUG